CCUACGGGAGGCAGCAGUGGGGAAUAUUGCACAAUGGGGGAAACCCUGAUGCAGCGACGCCGCGUGAGUGAAGAAGUAAUUCGUUAUGUAAAGCUCUAUCAGCAGGGAAGAAAAUGACGGUACCUGAGUAAGAAGCCCCGGCUAACUACGUGCCAGCAGCCGCGGUAAUACGUAGGGGGCAAGCGGUAACCGGAUUUACUGGGUGGAAAGGGAGCGUAGACGGCAGUGCAAGUCUGGAGUGAAAGGCGGGGGCUCAACCCCCGGACGGCUCUGGAAACUGUACGGCUGGAGUGCAGGAGAGGUAAGUGGAAUUCCUAGUGUAGCGGUGAAAUGCGUAGAUAUUAGGAGGAACACCAGUGGCGAAGGCGGCUUACUGGACUGUAACUGACGUUGAGGCUCGAAAGCGUGGGGAGCAAACAGGAUUAGAUACCCCUGUAGUC
RNAcentral lists this ribosomal RNA (440 nucleotides) under uncultured bacterium. RNAcentral describes it as "partial 16S ribosomal RNA". It matches the Rfam family "Bacterial small subunit ribosomal RNA", at positions 338 to 795 of the family's 1533-position model. The record is from RNAcentral.